CCGUAGGGUGACCUGCGGAGGGAUCAUUACCGAGUUUACAACUCCCAAACCCCUGUGAACAUACCUUAAUGUUGCCUCGGCGGAUCAGCCCGCGCCCCGUAAAACGGGACGGCCCGCCAGAGGACCCAAACUCUAAUGUUUCUUAUUGUAACUUCUGAGUAAAACAAACAAAUAAAUCAAAACUUUCAACAACGGAUCUCUUGGUUCUGGCAUCGAUGAAGAACGCAGCAAAAUGCGAUAAGUAAUGUGAAUUGCAGAAUUCAGUGAAUCAUCGAAUCUUUGAACGCACAUUGCGCCCGCUGGUAUUCCGGCGGGCAUGCCUGUUCGAGCGUCAUUUCAACCCUCAAGCCCCCGGGUUUGGUGUUGGGGAUCGGCUCUGCCCUUCUGGGCGGUGCCGCCCCCGAAAUACAUUGGCGGUCUCGCUGCAGCCUCCAUUGCGUAGUAGCUAACACCUCGCAACUGGAACGCGGCGCGGCCAUGCCGUAAAACCCCAACUUCUGAAUGUUGACCUCGGAUCAGGUAGGAAUACCCGCUGAACUUAAGCAUAUCAAU
RNAcentral lists this ribosomal RNA (552 nucleotides) under Fusarium tricinctum. RNAcentral's name for it is "eukaryotic LSU rRNA". The stretch from base 181 to 334 matches the Rfam family "5.8S ribosomal RNA". The record is from RNAcentral. Lineage: Eukaryota; Fungi; Ascomycota; Sordariomycetes; Hypocreales; Nectriaceae.